UUUCCGUAGGUGAACCUGCGGAAGGAUCAUUACAGUGCUCUCUGCCCUCACGGGUAGAAACGCCCACCCUUGUGUAUUAUAUCUUUGUUGCUUUGGCAGGCCGCCCUCGGGCACCGGCUCCGGCUGGGUCGCGCCUGCCAGAGGAAACCCAAACUCUGAAUGUUAGUGUCGUCUGAGUACUAUCUAAUAGUUAAAACUUUCAACAACGGAUCUCUUGGUUCUGGCAUCGAUGAAGAACACAGC
Molecule: unclassified non-coding RNA, 243 nt
Filed under: plant metagenome
Description: partial contains small subunit ribosomal RNA, internal transcribed spacer 1, and 5.8S ribosomal RNA
Rfam family: 5.8S ribosomal RNA (bases 195-243)
Source: RNAcentral